UGCCGCAGUGCAGACUCUACUGUGGGUUUGUCCUGUUCAGUGGGCUGAUCCCAGAACAGCUGUGGCUAUAUCACUACAUCAGGUUUUGCUUUCACCUCUGCACUGCUGGUUGCAGAACGGUGACAAUGAGGCCUGAAACAUUU
Molecule: small nucleolar RNA, 143 nt
Organism: Labrus bergylta (ballan wrasse)
Lineage: Eukaryota; Metazoa; Chordata; Actinopteri; Labriformes; Labridae
Source: Ensembl